RNAcentral lists this small nuclear RNA (123 nucleotides) under Pelodiscus sinensis (Chinese soft-shelled turtle). RNAcentral describes it as "U4 spliceosomal RNA". It matches the Rfam family "U4 spliceosomal RNA". Rfam says of the family: U4 small nuclear RNA (U4 snRNA) is a component of the major U2-dependent spliceosome. The structure of U4 snRNA from yeast and human has been reported. U4 snRNA presents a k-turn RNA motif in the 5p-SL related to recognition of Snu13 protein. Lineage: Eukaryota; Metazoa; Chordata; Testudines; Trionychidae. The record is from Rfam by way of RNAcentral.
AGUGUUGCCUCCGUAUCGUAGCCAAUGAGGUUACUCCGAGGCGCGAUUAUUGCUAAUUGAAAACUUUUCUAUCCUUGGGCAGGUUGAAAUUUCUAAUGUGCACCACCAGUAUUGAGGUAGUGU